UCGAGCGAACGGACGAGAAGCUUGCUUCUCUGAUGUUAGCGGCGGACGGGUGAGUAACACGUGGAUAACCUACCUAUAAGACUGGGAUAACUUCGGGAAACCGGAGCUAAUACCGGAUAAUAUUUUGAACCGCAUGGUUCAAAAGUGAAAGACGGUCUUGCUGUCACUUAUAGAUGGAUCCGCGCUGCAUUAGCUAGUUGGUAAGGUAACGGCUUACCAAGGCAACGAUGCAUAGCCGACCUGAGAGGGUGAUCGGCCACACUGGAACUGAGACACGGUCCAGACCCCUACGGGAGGCAGCAGUAGGGAAUCUUCCGCAAUGGGCGAAAGCCUGACGGAGCAACGCCGCGUGAGUGAUGAAGGUCUUCGGAUCGUAAAACUCUGUUAUUAGGGAAGAACAUAUGUGUAAGUAACUGUGCACAUCUUGACGGUACCUAAUCAGAAAGCCACGGCUAACUACGUGCCAGCAGCCGCGGUAAUACGUAGGUGGCAAGCGUUAUCCGGAAUUAUUGGGCGUAAAGCGCGCGUAGGCGGUUUUUUAAGUCUGAUGUGAAAGCCCACGGCUCAACCGUGGAGGGUCAUUGGAAACUGGAAAACUUGAGUGCAGAAGAGGAAAGUGGAAUUCCAUGUGUAGCGGUGAAAUGCGCAGAGAUAUGGAGGAACACCAGUGGCGAAGGCGACUUUCUGGUCUGUAACUGACGCUGAUGUGCGAAAGCGUGGGGAUCAAACAGGAUUA
This 736-nucleotide ribosomal RNA is filed under the name uncultured Staphylococcus sp. RNAcentral describes it as "bacterial SSU rRNA". It matches the Rfam family "Bacterial small subunit ribosomal RNA", at positions 62 to 780 of the family's 1533-position model. Lineage: Bacteria; Bacillati; Bacillota; Bacilli; Caryophanales; Staphylococcaceae. The record is from RNAcentral.